This 753-nucleotide ribosomal RNA is filed under the name Syphacia obvelata. Its description in RNAcentral is "eukaryotic LSU rRNA". The stretch from base 298 to 451 matches the Rfam family "5.8S ribosomal RNA". The record is from RNAcentral. Lineage: Eukaryota; Metazoa; Nematoda; Chromadorea; Rhabditida; Oxyuridae.
AAUACAUUCAAAAAUGAAUUAAAGAAGCUAAUUUCUUACAUGCUAUAAACGUAAGAAAUAUAGGGCAAAGAUACUCGCGCUUGUGCAGAUGCAUGAGGCGUUUGAAAGAUCUCGUCGCAUGCAAGAAGUGGACGAGGUAUAUGGUUGGUGUCUAGCCUGAUUUCUUGUAAAUUAGGAUGUGCCGCAAACAAAGCGGAAGACUCAAUUAGCGCAGUCAAGCGCGCAGCCAACAAUUGAAAAUAUUAUGAAAAUAUUAACUGUAUGGCUACGUUUGAUAAUCGUAGCAUAUAAGAAAUAAACUCCUAGCGGUGGAUCACUAGGCUCGAAGAUCGAUGAAGAACGCAGUUAGCUGCGAUAAUUAGUGUGAAUUGCGGACACAUUGAACACAAAAAAUUCGAACGCACAUUGCGCCAUCGGGUCCUCUCCCGUUGGUACGUCUGGUUGAGGGUUGAAAUCUACAAAUUAAAGUUGUCGACUGACUGCUAAUAUAUACAUGCACUCAGUUUAGUAUGUUUAGGUGGCUUAUAGCUACCACAAAACACGUAAUGUGAUGUGGUGACAUAACGACAACGAUUUUGCAUGGCAAGUAUAGUCGUGCUGCGUUGUGCAAGUGGCCGAACUCUGUUAGGCAUCUGCACAUGAAACCAAGGUAGAUGCUUAGCGGGAUCGGUAUGACGUAUCUGUGAUACUAUAGCAAAAUCAUGUCUGUCAACCACGUUAUGAUAACCUCAACUCAGUCGUGAUACCCGCUGA